GAUGAACGCUAGCGGCAGGCUUAAUACAUGCAAGUCGUGGGGCAGCAUGAAUGUAGCAAUACAUUUGAUGGCGACCGGCAAACGGGUGCGGAACACGUACACAACCUUCCGAUAAGUGGGGAAUAGCCCAGAGAAAUUUGGAUUAAUACCCCGUAACAUAGAGAGGUGGCAUCAUCUUUAUAUUAUAGCUACGGCGCUUAUUGAUGGGUGUGCGGCUGAUUAGAUAGUUGGCGGGGUAACGGCCCACAAAGUCUACGAUCAGUAGCUGAAGUGAGAGCAUGAUCAGCCACACGGGCACUGAGACACGGGCCCGACUCCUACGGGAGGCAGCAGUAAGGAAUAUUGGUCAAUGGACGCAAGUCUGAACCAGCCAUGCCGCGUGAAGGAUUAAGGUCCUCUGGAUUGUAAACUUCUUUUAUCUGGGACGAAAAAAGGCGAUUCUUCGUCACUUGACGGUACCAGAUGAAUAAGCACCGGCUAACUCCGUGCCAGCCGCCGCCGUAA
Molecule: ribosomal RNA, 504 nt
Filed under: uncultured bacterium
Lineage: Bacteria
Description: partial 16S ribosomal RNA
Rfam family: Bacterial small subunit ribosomal RNA
Source: RNAcentral